CGCGUGGGACGAGCUAAAGGAAGCUGGCACUUUGAAGAACGACAUCCAGAACAUCAUAGACGCCCUCAACACACACCACAGGAACGUCAACAUUUCCAGAGUCACCGGAAGUUCUGUUGCUGUCGCCACUGGGUUGCCUGCAGCAGCCUGCGCCAUUGCCGCGCCCUUCACCGCAGGGUUGACCUUGAUACCAGCCAUUGUCCUGGGCAUCAUCGCCGCCGUUGGUGGAGGUGUGUCUGUCGGCGCAACAGUCGCAGAAUAUUUCAU
Pomacea canaliculata is the source of this 267-nucleotide long non-coding RNA. RefSeq lists it as uncharacterized. NCBI's taxonomy places the organism in Eukaryota, Metazoa, Mollusca, Gastropoda, Architaenioglossa, Ampullariidae. The transcript is spliced from 2 exons. The record is from RefSeq and is a predicted model, not a curated record.